AAUAUAUCUGAUGACGUAGCCGUUUAGUACCUAGUUGGACUGCCACACCGCAAGUGUUUACCGAAAAUUGGUCCGUCCUACGUGACUGGAUCGUUACUGAUGUCCAUUCCGUGUUUUGAUACACGUCUAGUGGUAUGGAGAGGGGUCGCCGUGGCCCAGUGGUUAAGGCAUCUGACAUUCUUCUACCGCUAAAGCCUUCCACCGCUGGGUCGCGGGUUGGAGACCUACGUGGGGCAGCCACCAGGAACCGACCGUUGGUCGGUGGUUUUCCUCCGGGAACUGCGGCUUUUCUACACCAUCAAAACCUGGCACGUCUUUAAAUGACCAUAGCUGUUACUAGGACGUCAAACACAAACAAACAAAUCAGUGGUUCGGUGUACAAGUCAAAGAGAAAAUAAAUCUUCAGAAUUG
Long non-coding RNA from Mizuhopecten yessoensis (Yesso scallop), 411 nucleotides. RefSeq lists it as uncharacterized. The transcript is spliced from 2 exons. The record is from RefSeq and is a predicted model, not a curated record. Lineage: Eukaryota; Metazoa; Mollusca; Bivalvia; Pectinida; Pectinidae.